GUGUCAGCCGCCGCGCGGUAAUACGAAGGUCCCGAGCGUUAUUCGGAAUCACUGGGCGUAAAGAGUACGUAGGCGGUUUGGUAAGUCAGGUGUGAAAUCCCGGGGCUCAACCCCGGAACUGCAUCCGAUACUGCUAGACUGGAGUAAUGGAGAGGCAGGUGGAAUUCUCGGUGUAGCAGUGAAAUGCGUGGAUAUCGAGAGGAAGACCAAUGGCGAAGGCAGCCUGCUGGACAUUUACUGACGCUGAGGUACGAAGGCCAGGGUAGCGAAAGGGAUUAGAUACCCCUGUAGUCCUGGCAGUAAACGGUGCGCGCUUGGUGUGGGAGGACUCGACCCCUUCUGUGCCGGAGCUAACGCGUUAAGCGCGCCGCCUGGGGAGUACGGUCGCAAGACUAAAACUCAAAGAAAUUGACGGGGACCCGCACAAGCGGUGGAGUAUGUGGCUUAACUCGAUGCAACGCGAAGAACCUUACCUAGGCUUGACAUGUAUUGCUAAGCACGUGAAAGCGUGUGACUCUUCGGAGACCUUACACAGGUGCUGCAUGGCCGUCGUCAGCUCGUGUCGUGAGAUGUUUGGUUAAGUCCAGCAACGAGCGCAACCCCUGUGGAUAGUUGCCAGCACGUAAUGGUGGGGACUCUAUCCAGACUGCCCAGGUCAACUGGGAGGAAGGUGGGGAUGACGUCAGGUCAGUAUGGCCCUUACGCCUAGGGCUGCACACGUACUACAAUGCCCAGUACAAUGAGAACCGAUACCGUGAGGUGGAGGAAAUCUACAAAACUGGGCCCAGUUCGGAUUGGAGGCUGCAACUCGCCUCCAUGAAGUUGGAAUCGCUAGUAAUGGCACAUCAGCUACGGUGCCGUGAAUACGUUCCCGGGUCUUGUACACACCGCCCGUCA
This 897-nucleotide ribosomal RNA is filed under the name uncultured bacterium. RNAcentral describes it as "bacterial SSU rRNA". It matches the Rfam family "Bacterial small subunit ribosomal RNA", at positions 505 to 1399 of the family's 1533-position model. The record is from RNAcentral.